GGGUCGGUAGCUCAGUGGUAGAGCAUCGGACUUUUAAUCCGUUGGUCGAGGGUUCGAUCCCCUCCCGACCCACCA
RNAcentral lists this transfer RNA (75 nucleotides) under Steroidobacter denitrificans. RNAcentral describes it as "tRNA-Lys". It matches the Rfam family "tRNA". From Rfam's summary of the family: Transfer RNA (tRNA) molecules are approximately 80 nucleotides in length. Lineage: Bacteria; Pseudomonadati; Pseudomonadota; Gammaproteobacteria; Steroidobacterales; Steroidobacteraceae. The record is from RNAcentral.